UGAGUAAGUCAGAUGGUCGCAAGUACAGCACCGUGAGGUCGUACUUGAGGAAAGUCCGAGCUCCAAAGGGCAGGGUGCUGGGUAACCCCCAGUGGAGGCGACUCUAAGGAAAGUGCAACAGAAAUAAACCGCUAGCCUUAUCUUUGAUAAGGCAGUAAGGAUGGAAAGGUGAAGUAAGAGCUCACCGCUCCCAUGGCGACUUGGGAGGCUAUGUAAACCCCACCUGGAGCAAAACCACAUAAAAGAACAUAUGGGGCUGCCCGUCCCGUUCCAUGGUAGGUUGCUUGAGUGUAUAGGUAACUAUAUGCCUAGAUAGAUGACCGUCUAAUACAGAACUCGGCUUAUAGAUUUGCUCAUUUA
This 360-nucleotide RNase P RNA is filed under the name Candidatus Epulonipiscium sp. RNAcentral describes it as "RNase P RNA component class A". It matches the Rfam family "Bacterial RNase P class A". Rfam says of the family: Ribonuclease P (RNase P) is a ubiquitous endoribonuclease, found in archaea, bacteria and eukarya as well as chloroplasts and mitochondria. Its best characterised activity is the generation of mature 5'-ends of tRNAs by cleaving the 5'-leader elements of precursor-tRNAs. The record is from RNAcentral. Lineage: Bacteria; Bacillati; Bacillota; Clostridia; Lachnospirales; Lachnospiraceae.